GAAGCUGACCAGACAGUCGCCGCUUCGUCGUCGUCCUUUCGGGGAGACGGGCGGAGGGGAGGAAAGUCCGGGCUCCAUAGGGCAGGGUGCCAGGUAACGCCUGGGGGGGAAACCCACGACCAGUGCAACAGAGAGCAAACCGCCGAUGGCCCACGUAAGUGGGAUCAGGUAAGGGUGAAAGGGUGCGGUAAGAGCGCACCGCGCGGCUGGUAACAGUCCGUGGCACGGUAAACUCCACCCGGAGCAAGGCCAAAUAGGGGUUCAUAAGGUUCGGCCCGUACUGAACCCGGGUAGGCUGCUUGAGCCAGUGAGCGAUUGCUGGCCUAGAUGAAUGACUGUCCACGACAGAACCCGGCUUAUCGGUCAGUUUCACUU
Molecule: RNase P RNA, 375 nt
Filed under: Salmonella enterica
Lineage: Bacteria; Pseudomonadati; Pseudomonadota; Gammaproteobacteria; Enterobacterales; Enterobacteriaceae
Description: RNase P RNA component class A
Rfam family: Bacterial RNase P class A
About the family: Ribonuclease P (RNase P) is a ubiquitous endoribonuclease, found in archaea, bacteria and eukarya as well as chloroplasts and mitochondria. Its best characterised activity is the generation of mature 5'-ends of tRNAs by cleaving the 5'-leader elements of precursor-tRNAs.
Source: RNAcentral